This 484-nucleotide ribosomal RNA is filed under the name Vasticardium elongatum. Its description in RNAcentral is "partial 16S ribosomal RNA". It matches the Rfam family "Bacterial large subunit ribosomal RNA", at positions 1808 to 2609 of the family's 2925-position model. The record is from RNAcentral. Lineage: Eukaryota; Metazoa; Mollusca; Bivalvia; Cardiida; Cardiidae.
CAAAAACAUCUCUCCCAGUAAUUUAGAUUGGGAGUAGGCCCUGCCCUGUGAUUAAUUUUUAACGGCAACGUUAAGUUUUAAAGUAGCGUGAUAAUUUGUCCCUUAAUUAGGGUCUGGUAUGAAUGGGUUGACGUGGAAGGGCUGUCUCGGGGGUAGUUUUUGAAAUUUUCUUCCUAGUGAAAAGCCUGGGAUGAAUUUAAAAGACGAGAAGACCCCGUCGAGCUUGAUUACUUAGGUGAGUUGUCAUCUGGGUGAAGUUUUGUUGGGGCAAUAAAGGAGAAAUUAAACCUCCUGUUAUUUUUUCAUGGAUCCACUUUUGGGGAUAAAAGGAAAAAGCUACCGCGGGGAUAACAGCGCAAAACCAUCUGAUAGGCCGUAUUGAAGCUGGUGAUUGCGACCUCGAUGUUGGAUUAGGGUUUACAGCUUGGCGCAGAAGCUUAGCAAAGUGGGACUGUUCGUCCCUUAAAUCCCUACAUGAUCUGAG